This 335-nucleotide unclassified non-coding RNA is filed under the name soil metagenome. Its description in RNAcentral is "partial contains 5.8S ribosomal RNA, internal transcribed spacer 2, and large subunit ribosomal RNA". The stretch from base 1 to 120 matches the Rfam family "5.8S ribosomal RNA", at positions 35 to 154 of the family's 154-position model. The record is from RNAcentral.
GAUGAAGAACGCAGCGAAAUGCGAUAAGUAAUGUGAAUUGCAGAAUUCAGUGAAUCAUCGAAUCUUUGAACGCACAUUGCGCCCGCCAGUAUACUGGCGGGCAUGCCUGUUCGAGCGUCAUUUCAACCAUCAAGCCCCCGGCUUGUGUUGGGGACCUGCGGCUGCCGCAGGCCCUGAAAACCAGUGGCGGGCUCGCUAGUCACUCCGAGCGUAGUAAUACAUCUCGCUCAGGGCGUGCUGCGGGUUCCGGCCGUUAAAAAGCCUUAUUUACCCAAGGUUGACCUCGGAUCAGGUAGGAAGACCCGCUGAACUUAAGCAUAUCAAUAAGCGGAGGA